UACGUAGGGUGCGAGCGUUAAUCGGAAUUACUGGGCGUAAGCGUGCGCAGGCGGUUUGUAAGCCAGAUGUGAAAUCCCCGGGCUUAACCUGGGAAUGGCAUUGGGACUGCAAGGCUGGAGUUUGGCAGAGGAGACUGGAAUUCCUGGUGUAGCAGUGAAAUGCGUAGAUAUCAGGAGGAAUACCGAUGGCGAAGGCAGGUCUCUGGGCUAUAACUGACGCUCAUGCACGAA
This 231-nucleotide ribosomal RNA is filed under the name uncultured bacterium. RNAcentral's name for it is "partial 16S ribosomal RNA". It matches the Rfam family "Bacterial small subunit ribosomal RNA", at positions 524 to 757 of the family's 1533-position model. The record is from RNAcentral.